RNAcentral lists this ribosomal RNA (253 nucleotides) under uncultured bacterium. Its description in RNAcentral is "partial 16S ribosomal RNA". It matches the Rfam family "Bacterial small subunit ribosomal RNA", at positions 524 to 776 of the family's 1533-position model. The record is from RNAcentral.
UACGAAGGGGGCUAGCGUUGCUCGGAAUCACUGGGCGUAAAGCGCACGUAGGCGGAUCUUUAAGUCAGGGGUGAAAUCCUGGAGCUCAACUCCAGAACUGCCUUUGAUACUGGCGACCUUGAGUCCGGGAGAGGUGAGUGGAACUGCGAGUGUAGAGGUGAAAUUCGUAGAUAUUCGCAAGAACACCAGUGGCGAAGGCGGCUCACUGGCCCGGUACUGACGCUGAGGUGCGAAAGCGUGGGGAGCAAACAGG